UAGGGUUCGAUCCUGGCUCAGAACGUACGCUGGCGGCAGGCCUAACACAUGCNAGUCGAGCGCACCUUCGGGUGAGCGGCGGACGGGUUAGUAACGCGUGGGAACGUACCCUUUUCUACGGAAUAGCCUUUGGAAACGAAGAGUAAUACCGUAUACGCCCUUUGGGGGAAAGAUCUAUCGGAGAAGGAUCGGCCCGCGUUAGAUUAGAUAGNUGGNGGGGUAACGGNCNNNNAAGUCUACNAUCUAUAGCCGGUUUUAGAGGAUGAUC
This 268-nucleotide ribosomal RNA is filed under the name uncultured bacterium. RNAcentral describes it as "partial 16S ribosomal RNA". It matches the Rfam family "Bacterial small subunit ribosomal RNA", at positions 1 to 305 of the family's 1533-position model. The record is from RNAcentral.